UAGGCAGCGGCAGUCAAUGCGGCGUCUAUGUAUAUAUGUCUAUGGGUACAACACUCACCAACACUGUGUUUGACUUUGUACAAUCUUUCUUAGCAUAUCAGGCCAAGGCAGGCUGUCUUUGGUGUCUCCCAGGCACAGACGGAGGAGGUUCAACUCUACAUCUAUGCAUUACGGCAGACAGCAGACAACUCUCUCACACACACGCUAACUCUUAUUCUGUUACACCAUAUCACUGCGCCUGGGAGCCUAUCACAUCAUUGUAAACACUGACGUACUAGGAACUGCAUUACUGCUUAACAAAAGGCAAAUUAGCUUUAUGCAUCUGCGUUACAAUAUUAUAUGGUCUUAUAUAUAUUAUAUGUUAAAUGUGUAAAGAAAAAGUCGGGCGAAAUCGAAAGUGAUGAAAAAAGUGGCCAGCACAAAUAACGGACUUUCUGUGAUCCUACAGCUAGUCUCACCAGGCUAACGUUGGCUAACGUUACAGGCGACUGGCCUCACACUCAUCCUGCAAACCCGCCUUUCAGUAACGGUAAAGAGGAACUUCGGGCAAGCUUUCACUCUGGCAGCAAAAUGACGAGUCGGUGCGUGUGUGGGACUCGCAAGUCCGACAAACUAGUUCUAAGAUGGAGAAGGCAGGAGGAGAGGAGACGAGACGAGAGGACACCAGGAGACAAGGGGACAAAUCCUGGUGCCAAAUCUAUCAAGAUUUGGCACCAACAGAGGCAGAGUUGUUCGAGGGUCAGCUGAACGAGGAGAUGGGGCAUGCUGUCCCUGUGUGGCAUGUUCAUGCCCAUGCCACCUCAUGGCUGGGAAUAGGAUGACAAGCAAUGAAGGGGAGCAGAAGAGGGCAUUAGAGAAGAGCAAGGCUCUCUUUCUUCUGAAAAGAUACCCCUCCACUGAGGAGAAGUCUGAGCUGUUAGUGAGGGGCUUCAGAUGAAGACUGUGAACAAAUGGUUCAUUAAUUACAGAUACACCAUGUUUCUUGAACUGCGGAGGCGGGCAGUUAAGAAAAUAACAAUGGAAACACGGAGGCCGAUGUGGACCGCUUGGUGACGAGGGGCACAAACCUGGCCUUUGCCCACCUCCUUGGUAAUGGGAGAGUGCUGAAUGAGUCCUGCAGGGACACUGUGAAAACAUACCUGCAGGCUUGGCUCAAGGCCCUAAGGGGGGGAAAGGACCCCAAUGCCGAGGCCAUUAAGGCAGUCCAGGACAUGAAGAGUGCCUAGGGUGUGUGUGUGUGUGUGUGUGUG
Epinephelus fuscoguttatus (brown-marbled grouper) is the source of this 1250-nucleotide long non-coding RNA. RefSeq lists it as uncharacterized. The transcript is spliced from 5 exons. Lineage: Eukaryota; Metazoa; Chordata; Actinopteri; Perciformes; Serranidae. The record is from RefSeq and is a predicted model, not a curated record.